GAAUAUUGCACAAUGGGCGCAAGCCUGAUGCAGCAACGCCGCGUGAGGGAUGACGGCCUUCGGGUUGUAAACCUCUUUUGUCAGGGAAGAAGCCUUCGGGUGACGGUACCUGGAGAAAAAGCACCGGCUAACUACGUGCCAGCAGCCGCGGUAAUACGUAGGGUGCAAGCGUUGUCCGGAAUUAUUGGGCGUAAAGAGCUCGUAGGCGGUUUGUCGUGUCUGCUGUGAAAACGCAAGGCUUAACCUUGCGCCUGCAGUGGGUACGGGCAGACUAGAGUGCGGUAGGGGAGACUGGAAUUCCUGGUGUAGCGGUGGAAUGCGCAGAUAUCAGGAGGAACACCGAUGGCGAAGGCAGGUCUCUGGGCCGUUACUGACGCUGAGGAGCGAAAGCAUGGGGAGCGAACA
Molecule: ribosomal RNA, 405 nt
Filed under: uncultured bacterium
Lineage: Bacteria
Description: partial 16S ribosomal RNA
Rfam family: Bacterial small subunit ribosomal RNA
Source: RNAcentral